AUUGAACGCUGGCGGCAGGCCUAACACAUGCAAGUCGAACGGUAGCACAGAGAGCUUGCUCUCGGGUGACGAGUGGCGGACGGGUGAGUAACGUCUGGGAAACUGCCCGAUGGAGGGGGAUAACUACUGGAAACGGUAGCUAAUACCGCAUAACGUCGCAAGACCAAAGUGGGGGACCUUCGGGCCUCACACCAUCGGAUGUGCCCAGAUGGGAUUAGCUAGUAGGUGGGGGAAUGGCUGACCUAGGCGACGAUCCCUAGCUGGGCUGAGAGGAUGACCAGCCAAACUGGAACUGAGACACGGUCCGGACUCCUACGGGGGGCAGCAGUGGGGAAUAUUGCACAAUGGGCGCAAGCCUGAUGCAGCCAUGCCGCGUGUAUGAAGAAGGCCUUCGGGUUGUAAAGUACUUUCAGCGGGGAGGAAGGCGGUGAAGUUAAUAGCUUCACCGAUUGACGUUGCCCGCAGAAGAAGCACCGGCUAACUCCGUGCCAGCAGCCGCCGCGG
RNAcentral lists this ribosomal RNA (504 nucleotides) under uncultured bacterium. RNAcentral describes it as "partial 16S ribosomal RNA". It matches the Rfam family "Bacterial small subunit ribosomal RNA", at positions 29 to 523 of the family's 1533-position model. The record is from RNAcentral.